This 531-nucleotide ribosomal RNA is filed under the name Fusarium redolens. RNAcentral describes it as "eukaryotic LSU rRNA". The stretch from base 147 to 300 matches the Rfam family "5.8S ribosomal RNA". Lineage: Eukaryota; Fungi; Ascomycota; Sordariomycetes; Hypocreales; Nectriaceae. The record is from RNAcentral.
CUGCGAGUUAACUCCCAACCCCUGUGACAUACCUUACUGUUGCCUCGGCGGAUCAGCCCGCUCCCGGUAAAACGGGACGGCCCGCCAGAGGACCCCUAAACUCUGUUUCUAUAUGUAACUUCUGAGUAAAACCAUAAAUAAAUCAAAACUUUCAACAACGGAUCUCUUGGUUCUGGCAUCGAUGAAGAACGCAGCAAAAUGCGAUAAGUAAUGUGAAUUGCAGAAUUCAGUGAAUCAUCGAAUCUUUGAACGCACAUUGCGCCCGCCAGUAUUCUGGCGGGCAUGCCUGUUCGAGCGUCAUUUCAACCCUCAAGCCCUCGGGUUUGGUGUUGGGGAUCGGCGAGCCUUUCUGGCAAGCCGGCCCCGAAAUCUAGUGGCGGUCUCGCUGCAGCCUCCAUUGCGUAGUAGUAAAACCCUCGCAACUGGAACGCGGCGCGGCCAAGCCGUUAAACCCCCAACUUCUGAAUGUUGACCUCGGAUCAGGUAGGAAUACCCGCUGAACUUAAGCAUAUCAAUAAGGCCGGAGGAACG